RNAcentral lists this ribosomal RNA (3112 nucleotides) under Salmonella enterica subsp. enterica. RNAcentral's name for it is "23S ribosomal RNA". It matches the Rfam family "Bacterial large subunit ribosomal RNA". RNAcentral also lists the same sequence under 1 other name. The record is from RNAcentral. Lineage: Bacteria; Pseudomonadati; Pseudomonadota; Gammaproteobacteria; Enterobacterales; Enterobacteriaceae.
GGGUUGUGAGGUUAAGCGACUAAGCGUACACGGUGGAUGCCCUGGCAGUCAGAGGCGAUGAAGGGCGUGCUAAUCUGCGAUAAGCGCCGGUAAGGUGAUAUGAACCGUUAUAACCGGCGAUACCCGAAUGGGGAAACCCAGUGUGAUUCGUCACACUAUCAUUAACUGAAUCCAUAGGUUAAUGAGGCGAACCGGGGGAACUGAAACAUCUAAGUACCCCGAGGAAAAGAAAUCAACCGAGAUUCCCCCAGUAGCGGCGAGCGAACGGGGAGGAGCCCAGAGCCUGAAUCAGCAUGUGUGUUAGUGGAAGCGUCUGGAAAGGCGCGCGAUACAGGGUGACAGCCCCGUACACAAAAGCGCAUGUGCUGUGAGCUCGAUGAGUAGGGCGGGACACGUGGUAUCCUGUCUGAAUAUGGGGGGACCAUCCUCCAAGGCUAAAUACUCCUGACUGACCGAUAGUGAACCAGUACCGUGAGGGAAAGGCGAAAAGAACCCCGGCGAGGGGAGUGAAAAAGAACCUGAAACCGUGUACGUACAAGCAGUGGGAGCCCCACCACUAAGCCAGUGGUGAACUCCACAUCCGCAUCCUUUGCUGAGGAUACGGUUAACGGAGCGAAAGCGACGUUCAACCGCAAAACAAGCAGAGGGGGCUUAGUGGUGGGGUGACUGCGUACCUUUUGUAUAAUGGGUCAGCGACUUAUAUUCUGUAGCAAGGUUAACCGAAUAGGGGAGCCGGAGGGAAACCGAGUCUUAAUUGGGCGUUAAGUUGCAGGGUAUAGACCCGAAACCCGGUGAUCUAGCCAUGGGCAGGUUGAAGGUUGGGUAACACUAACUGGAGGACCGAACCGACUAAUGUUGAAAAAUUAGCGGAUGACCUGUGGCUGGGGGUGAAAGGCCAAUCAAACCGGGAGAUAGCUGGUUCUCCCCGAAAGCUAUUUAGGUAGCGCCUCGUGAAUUCAUCUCCGGGGGUAGAGCACUGUUUCGGCUAGGGGGCCAUCCCGGCUUACCAACCCGAUGCAAACUGCGAAUACCGGAGAAUGUUAUCACGGGAGACACACGGCGGGUGCUAACGUCCGUCGUGAAGAGGGAAACAACCCAGACCGCCAGCUAAGGUCCCAAAGUCAUGGUUAAGUGGGAAACGAUGUGGGAAGGCCCAGACAGCCAGGAUGUUGGCUUAGAAGCAGCCAUCAUUUAAAGAAAGCGUAAUAGCUCACUGGUCGAGUCGGCCUGCGCGGAAGAUGUAACGGGGCUAAACCAUGCACCGAAGCUGCGGCAGCGAACGUAUCACCCAAGACAACUUUACGGAGUUGACGAUUGACGGAGCGAAGCGACGUCAAAGCGUUCAUUAAAGUCGAGUUGGCUUAGGGAUACGUUCGUUGGGUAGGGGAGCGUUCUGUAAGCCUGUGAAGGUGUGUCGUGAGGCAUGCUGGAGGUAUCAGAAGUGCGAAUGCUGACAUAAGUAACGAUAAAGCGGGUGAAAAGCCCGCUCGCCGGAAGACCAAGGGUUCCUGUCCAACGUUAAUCGGGGCAGGGUGAGUCGACCCCUAAGGCGAGGCCGAAAGGCGUAGUCGAUGGGAAACGGGUUAAUAUUCCCGUACUUGGUGUUACUGCGAAGGGGGGACGGAGAAGGCUAUGUUGGCCGGGCGACGGUUGUCCCGGUUUAAGCGUGUAGGUGUGUGUUCCAGGUAAAUCCGGUUCACUUUAACACUGAGGCGUGACGACGAGGCACUACGGUGCUGAAGCAACAAAUGCCCUGCUUCCAGGAAAAGCCUCUAAGCAUCAGGUAACACGAAAUCGUACCCCAAACCGACACAGGUGGUCAGGUAGAGAAUACCAAGGCGCUUGAGAGAACUCGGGUGAAGGAACUAGGCAAAAUGGUGCCGUAACUUCGGGAGAAGGCACGCUGACACGUAGGUGAAGUGAUUUACUCAUGGAGCUGAAGUCAGUCGAAGAUACCAGCUGGCUGCAACUGUUUAUUAAAAACACAGCACUGUGCAAACACGAAAGUGGACGUAUACGGUGUGACGCCUGCCCGGUGCCGGAAGGUUAAUUGAUGGGGUCAGCGCAAGCGAAGCUCCUGAUCGAAGCCCCGGUAAACGGCGGCCGUAACUAUAACGGUCCUAAGGUAGCGAAAUUCCUUGUCGGGUAAGUUCCGACCUGCACGAAUGGCGUAAUGAUGGCCAGGCUGUCUCCACCCGAGACUCAGUGAAAUUGAACUCGCUGUGAAGAUGCAGUGUACCCGCGGCAAGACGGAAAGACCCCGUGAACCUUUACUAUAGCUUGACACUGAACAUUGAGCCUUGAUGUGUAGGAUAGGUGGGAGGCUUUGAAGUGUGGACGCCAGUCUGCAUGGAGCCGACCUUGAAAUACCACCCUUUAAUGUUUGAUGUUCUAACGUGGACCCGUAAUCCGGGUUGCGGACAGUGUCUGGUGGGUAGUUUGACUGGGGCGGUCUCCUCCUAAAGAGUAACGGAGGAGCACGAAGGUUGGCUAAUCCUGGUCGGACAUCAGGAGGUUAGUGCAAUGGCAUAAGCCAGCUUGACUGCGAGCGUGACGGCGCGAGCAGGUGCGAAAGCAGGUCAUAGUGAUCCGGUGGUUCUGAAUGGAAGGGCCAUCGCUCAACGGAUAAAAGGUACUCCGGGGAUAACAGGCUGAUACCGCCCAAGAGUUCAUAUCGACGGCGGUGUUUGGCACCUCGAUGUCGGCUCAUCACAUCCUGGGGCUGAAGUAGGUCCCAAGGGUAUGGCUGUUCGCCAUUUAAAGUGGUACGCGAGCUGGGUUUAGAACGUCGUGAGACAGUUCGGUCCCUAUCUGCCGUGGGCGCUGGAGAACUGAGGGGGGCUGCUCCUAGUACGAGAGGACCGGAGUGGACGCAUCACUGGUGUUCGGGUUGUCAUGCCAAUGGCACUGCCCGGUAGCUAAAUGCGGAAGAGAUAAGUGCUGAAAGCAUCUAAGCACGAAACUUGCCCCGAGAUGAGUUCUCCCUGAGACUUUAGGUCUCCUGAAGGAACGUUGAAGACGACGACGUUGAUAGGCCGGGUGUGUAAGCGCAGCGAUGCGUUGAGCUAACCGGUACUAAUGAACCGUGAGGCUUAACCUUACAACGCCGAAG